AUUGAACGCUGGCGGCAUGCCUUACACAUGCAAGUCGAACGGCAGCACGGGUGCUUGCACCUGGUGGCGAGUGGCGAACGGGUGAGUAAUAUAUCGGAACGUACCUUAUUGUGGGGGAUAACGCAGCGAAAGCUGUGCUAAUACCGCAUAAUCCCUAAGGGGGAAAGCGGGGGACCGUAAGGCCUCGCGCAAUUAGAGCGGCCGAUACCUGAUUAGCUAGUUGGUGAGGUAAAGGCUCACUAAGGCAGCGAUCAGUAGCUGGUCUGAGAGGACGAUCAGCCACACUGGGACUGAGACGCGGCCCAGACUCCUACGGGAGGCAGCAGUGGGGAAUUUUGGACAAUGGGGGCAACCCUGAUCCAGCAGUGCCGCGUGAGUGAAGAAGGCCUUCGGGUUGUAAAGCUCUUUUGUCAGGGAAGAAACAGCAGCUCUAACACAGUUUGCGAAUGACGGUACCUGAAGAAUAAGCACCGGCUAACUACGUGCCAGCCGCCGCAGUAA
Molecule: ribosomal RNA, 501 nt
Filed under: uncultured bacterium
Lineage: Bacteria
Description: partial 16S ribosomal RNA
Rfam family: Bacterial small subunit ribosomal RNA
Source: RNAcentral